Hypanus sabinus (Atlantic stingray) is the source of this 353-nucleotide long non-coding RNA. RefSeq lists it as uncharacterized. The transcript is spliced from 3 exons. The record is from RefSeq and is a predicted model, not a curated record. NCBI's taxonomy places the organism in Eukaryota, Metazoa, Chordata, Chondrichthyes, Myliobatiformes, Dasyatidae.
UGACAACACUUUGAUGUGAAAAUGAACUCCAGUGAAUCAUUCGACAGGAUCUGUCUCCAGAGAGGAAUGAAACAAAAUAAUUAACUUGUCAGAGCAGGAGGAAAACUUUCUCCAUCUUUCCUUCACUCUCUCUGCUCCAACAUUCAUCUGUUGUCAUCUGAGCUUUGCUGUUCUCCACGUAGACUCCACUUGCAAAACAAUUGAAUCCUCCCAAGUUCAAAUAAUUCAUCCAAACUUCAGAAACAAACGGGUGCUUUCUUCAUCCAUAUUAAGAUGUGGCGAGGCAGCUCCCUCACCUGGACCUCUUUGAUCCUCUGUAGCUUAACAAUGGGAUGUUUCGGAUUCAUUCUGAU